GUCCUGCUGACGAGUCCCAGAUAGGACGAAAUGCAUAUCCUGGUGGAU
This 48-nucleotide non-coding RNA is filed under the name Trichobilharzia regenti. Lineage: Eukaryota; Metazoa; Platyhelminthes; Trematoda; Strigeidida; Schistosomatidae. The record is from RNAcentral.